Molecule: ribosomal RNA, 906 nt
Filed under: uncultured bacterium
Lineage: Bacteria
Description: bacterial SSU rRNA
Rfam family: Bacterial small subunit ribosomal RNA
Source: RNAcentral
CACAUGCAAGUCGAGGGGCAGCGGGAUUGAAGCUUGCUUCAAUUGCCGGCGACCGGCGCACGGGUGAGUAACGCGUAUCCAACCUUCCGUACACUCAGGGAUAGCCUUUCGAAAGAAAGAUUAAUACCUGAUGGUAUGAUGAGAUUGCAUGAUAGCAUCAUUAAAGAUUCAUCGGUGUACGAUGGGGAUGCGUUCCAUUAGGUAGUAGGCGGGGUAACGGCCCACCUAGCCUACGAUGGAUAGGGGUUCUGAGAGGAAGGUCCCCCACAUUGGAACUGAGACACGGUCCAAACUCCUACGGGAGGCAGCAGUGAGGAAUAUUGGUCAAUGGACGAGAGUCUGAACCAGCCAAGUAGCGUGAAGGAUGAAGGUCCUACGGAUUGUAAACUUCUUUUAUAAGGGAAUAAAACCUCCCACGUGUGGGAGCUUGUAUGUACCUUAUGAAUAAGCAUCGGCUAACUCCGUGCCAGCAGCCGCGGUAAUACGGAGGAUGCGAGCGUUAUCCGGAUUUAUUGGGUUUAAAGGGAGCGCAGACGGGUCGUUAAGUCAGCUGUGAAAGUUUGGGGCUCAACCUUAAAAUUGCAGUUGAUACUGGCGUCCUUGAGUGCGGUUGAGGUGUGCGGAAUUCGUGGUGUAGCGGUGAAAUGCUUAGAUAUCACGAAGAACUCCGAUUGCGAAGGCAGCACACUAAGCCGUAACUGACGUUCAUGCUCGAAAGUGUGGGUAUCAAACAGGAUUAGAUACCCUGGUAGUCCACACGGUAAACGAUGGAUACUCGCUGUUGGCGAUAUACUGUCAGCGGCUUAGCGAAAGCGUUAAGUAUCCCACCUGGGGAGUACGCCGGCACGGUGAAACUCAGAGGAAUUGACGGGGGCCCGCACAAGCGGAGGAACAUGUGGUUUAAUU